CGUGGGUAAUCUGCCCUGCACUCUGGGAUAAGCCUGGGAAACUGGGUCUAAUACCGGAUAGGACUUCUGGCCGCAUGGUCUGGGAGUGGAAAGUUUUUCGGUGCAGGAUGUGCCCGCGGCCUAUCAGCUUGUUGGUGGGGUAAUGGCCUACCAAGGCGACGACGGGUAGCCGGCCUGAGAGGGUGAUCGGCCACACUGGGACUGAGACACGGCCCAGACUCCUACGGGAGGCAGCAGUGGGGAAUAUUGCACAAUGGGCGGAAGCCUGAUGCAGCGACGCCGCGUGGGGGAUGACGGUCUUCGGAUUGUAAACCCCUUUCAGUAGGGACGAAGCGCAAGUGACGGUACCUGCAGAAGAAGCACCGGCCAACUACGUGCCAGCAGCCGCGGUAAUACGUAGGGUGCGAGCGUUGUCCGGAAUUACUGGGCGUAAAGAGCUCGUAGGCGGUUUGUCGCGUCGUCUGUGAAAACUCGGAGCUUAACU
RNAcentral lists this ribosomal RNA (484 nucleotides) under uncultured Dietzia sp. RNAcentral describes it as "bacterial SSU rRNA". It matches the Rfam family "Bacterial small subunit ribosomal RNA", at positions 116 to 614 of the family's 1533-position model. The record is from RNAcentral. Lineage: Bacteria; Bacillati; Actinomycetota; Actinomycetes; Mycobacteriales; Dietziaceae.